UGUGUUCUAAAUCAAGGCUGGUGGCUUGUUGUGGCAACUGGCUUCAAGCAGGUGCCUAUAUUAACUUCUUCCUGUGGUCUGUUGGCUGCUCAUGUUUCCUCUGUGACCCAGCCAAUUCAGUUGGUAGAAACAUAG
RNAcentral lists this small nucleolar RNA (135 nucleotides) under Xenopus laevis (African clawed frog). The record is from RNAcentral. Lineage: Eukaryota; Metazoa; Chordata; Amphibia; Anura; Pipidae.